CCUACGGGUGGCAGCAGUGGGGAAUAUUGGUCAAUGGAGGAAACUCUGACCCAGCAACGCCGCGUGAAUGAUGAAGGUCUUCGGAUUGUAAAGUUCUUUUCUAAGGGAAGAAGAAAGUGACGGUACCUUAGGAAUAAGCCUCGGCUAACUACGUGCCAGCAGCCGCGGUAAUACGUAGGAGGCAAGCGUUAUCCGGAAUGACUGGGCGUAAAGGGUGCGUAGGGGGUUUGACAAGUUGGUAGCGUAACUCCGAGGCUUAACCUCGGAACUACUACCAAAACUGUUGGACUCGAGUGGAGGAGGGGCAGAUGGAAUUCCUGGUGUAGCGGUGGAAUGCGUAGAGAUUAGGAGGAACACGAGUGGCGAAGGCGAUUUGCUGGACUGUAACUGACACUGAGGCACGAAAGCGUGGGGAGCAAACAGGAUUAGAUACCCUUGUAGUC
RNAcentral lists this ribosomal RNA (443 nucleotides) under uncultured bacterium. RNAcentral describes it as "partial 16S ribosomal RNA". It matches the Rfam family "Bacterial small subunit ribosomal RNA", at positions 338 to 795 of the family's 1533-position model. The record is from RNAcentral.